Molecule: long non-coding RNA, 585 nt
Organism: Dromaius novaehollandiae (emu)
Lineage: Eukaryota; Metazoa; Chordata; Aves; Casuariiformes; Dromaiidae
Exons: 5
Source: RefSeq, a predicted model, not a curated record
UUGGGGGAAUUUGAUUCCCAACCGCUAUUUAUGGCUAUUGAUUUCUGCACUUCUUAUUACCACAAUUUUCAGGGCUCUUUCUUCAGCGAAGACUUCGUUCCGCAGAGUGAAUGCUCCUCGGAGAGGUGGCAGCAAGGAUGGCUGGAGCAGGGAGCGUUUUGCAAGGGGAUGGAUGGUUCCCCUCUCCUCCCACUGCUGUGUUGGACCGAAGGCCUUUUCCAUCUCCACCUGUGACUGCUUUUACAUCAGAUCUUCGAAGAGUGGGAAAUUUCCAGGGGCUGAAGUCUCAUCGCACUACUUCAGAAAGAAUUUGGGUCAUCUGAGCCCACCUAACAUUUCUUCUAUGCAUUGCUGUAGUCUUCAUCUUCAGGUGCUUUAAUUCUGCCCAGAUGGAUGAGAAUAGAUGAAUGUCUUCAUCCUGCAGACCAAAGGAAGUAGUAAUCCACUUCAUCUGUCACGAUCUCCCAUUGUGCCUGCUUUUGGAAUCAAGAUCCUCACUUGCAGACUUAUUUUCAUUUGUUCUUUCACUUAAUCACAAAUUGAUUUAGGUUAAAAUAUUCAAUUAAAGGCUGUUUUCUGCAAUCA